Long non-coding RNA from Gossypium arboreum, 431 nucleotides. RefSeq lists it as uncharacterized. The transcript has 2 exons. NCBI's taxonomy places the organism in Eukaryota, Viridiplantae, Streptophyta, Magnoliopsida, Malvales, Malvaceae. The record is from RefSeq and is a predicted model, not a curated record.
UAUGAAGUUUUAUUACAAGAAAAAGGGGUGAAAAGAACAAAGUUUUGUCCAUCUUUGUUCAUCAUAGCUGAAAUUUAGAGAAGAGAAAGGAGAGGAGAAAGCUCUUGAGUAUUUGGUCAUUAGGAGGAGGAAAAUUGAAGGUAAUCCCCAACCAUAGUGGGCUUAGAGCUGUGAGGGAAUUCGGAGUGGCCACCCGUUUUGAAAGUUUGAUUUUCUUCUGGUGAACUGGACAUCCUUUUAAUUACGUUUGAGGUUUUGGGCUUUUAAAUGUAAUAAGGCCGCUUAUUUAUUUUUGAUGGUUUUUAAUAUGUAUUACUAAGAUAGGUAAUACUUAUUUUAACUGUUGAAAUUGGAUAGCUUUAGGGCGCGUUUUCAAAAACAACAGUUGAUUUCAAAAUAACACGACAACAAGCAAAGCUUCCGCAAUGAAA